GUAGGUGAACCUGCGGAAGGAUCAUUAACAAAUCAAUACACACGAUCUCCUGGCGCAAGCUGGGAGCAUCUACACACGAUAAAUUUUGACGAAAAUUGAGACGAUCAAUAGAAUCAACUUUUAACAAUGGAUCUCUUGGCUCUU
This 144-nucleotide unclassified non-coding RNA is filed under the name rhizosphere metagenome. RNAcentral's name for it is "partial ribosomal RNA internal transcribed spacer region". The record is from RNAcentral.